GACGAACGCUGGCGGCGUGCCUAAUACAUGCAAGUCGAACGCACUCUCGUUUAGAUUGAAGGAGCUUGCUCCUGAUUGAUAAACAUUUGAGUGAGUGGCGGACGGGUGAGUAACACGUGGGUAACCUGCCCUAAAGUGGGGGAUAACAUUUGGAAACAGAUGCUAAUACCGCAUAAAACCUAACACCGCAUGGUGUAGGGUUGAAAGAUGGUUUCGGCUAUCACUUUAGGAUGGACCCGCGGUGCAUUAGCUAGUUGGUGAGGUAAAGGCUCACCAAGACCGUGAUGCAUAGCCGACCUGAGAGGGUAAUCGGCCACACUGGGACUGAGACACGGCCCAGACUCCUACGGGAGGCAGCAGUAGGGAAUCUUCCACAAUGGACGAAAGUCUGAUGGAGCAACGCCGCGUGAGUGAAGAAGGUUUUCGGAUCGUAAAACUCUGUUGUUGGAGAAGAAUGUAUCUGAUAGUAACUGAUCAGGUAGUGACGGUAUCCAACCAGAAAGCC
RNAcentral lists this ribosomal RNA (505 nucleotides) under uncultured bacterium. RNAcentral's name for it is "bacterial SSU rRNA". It matches the Rfam family "Bacterial small subunit ribosomal RNA", at positions 28 to 492 of the family's 1533-position model. The record is from RNAcentral.